This 468-nucleotide ribosomal RNA is filed under the name uncultured bacterium. Its description in RNAcentral is "partial 16S ribosomal RNA". It matches the Rfam family "Bacterial small subunit ribosomal RNA", at positions 28 to 507 of the family's 1533-position model. The record is from RNAcentral.
GACGAACGCUGGCGGCGUGCUUAACACAUGCAAGUCGAACGGAAAGGCCCUGCUUUUGUGGGGUGCUCGAGUGGCGAACGGGUGAGUAACACGUGAGUAACCUGCCCUUGACUUUGGGAUAACUUCAGGAAACUGGGGCUAAUACCGGAUAGGAGCUCCUGCUGCAUGGUGGGGGUUGGAAAGUUUCGGCGGUUGGGGAUGGACUCGCGGCCUAUCAGCUUGUUGGUGGGGUAGUGGCUUACCAAGGCUUUGACGGGUAGCCGGCCUGAGAGGGUGACCGGCCACAUUGGGACUGAGAUACGGCCCAGACUCCUACGGGAGGCAGCAGUGGGGAACAUUGCACAAUGGGCGGAAGCCUGAUGCAGCAACGCCGCGUGCGGGAUGACGGCCUUCGGGUUGUAAACCGCUUUCGCCUGUGACGAAGCGUGAGUGACGGUAAUGGGUAAAGAAGCACCGGCUAACUACGUG